AAAGUCGUAACAAGGUUUCCGUAGGUGAACCUGCGGAAGGAUCAUCAAUAGUCCAAAAUAUCAGGUCGUCUGUUGUCAUCCUGGUUAUUAUGUGAUGGUAACGGGAGAACGACGGCGCUGAAUAUACCUCGUUGUGAAUGGUUUUGUUGGUUAUAUGGUAGACUGGGAGUAGUAGGAGUGGUUGGUGGUAGUGAGGUUAGUUGUGCAUGUAUGCGUGUGCAAUGAUGGUAUAUAUGCCGUUAUUGCCAACGCGCAUACAUCAUGGUUCACUACUGUGUCCACCACCACCACCACCACCACCACGCUCCCAGUUGACCGUUUGUUUUACACAACCAUGCUGGUCUAUAGUUGCGGUUAAUCCCAUGUAAUGGGUCACCAUUAUCAUCAUACUGGUAUGGUGGGUUGUCCUACCAGUCAAGUUAUAUAUACAACUUAUAGCGAUGGAUCUCUAGGCUCUG
Molecule: unclassified non-coding RNA, 458 nt
Filed under: Basidiomycota sp.
Lineage: Eukaryota; Fungi; Basidiomycota
Description: partial contains small subunit ribosomal RNA and internal transcribed spacer 1
Rfam family: Eukaryotic small subunit ribosomal RNA (bases 1-47)
Source: RNAcentral